RNAcentral lists this ribosomal RNA (492 nucleotides) under uncultured bacterium. Its description in RNAcentral is "partial 16S ribosomal RNA". It matches the Rfam family "Bacterial small subunit ribosomal RNA", at positions 29 to 507 of the family's 1533-position model. The record is from RNAcentral.
AGUGAACGCUGGCGGUAGGCCUAACACAUGCAAGUCGAACGGCAGCACAGUAAGAGCUUGCUCUUACGGGUGGCGAGUGGCGGACGGGUGAGGAAUACAUCGGAAUCUACUUUUUCGUGGGGGCUAACGUAGGGACACUUACGCUAAUACCGCAUACGACCUACGGGUGAAAGCAGGGGAUCUUCCGACCUCGCGUGAUUGAAUGAGCCGAUGUCGGAUUAGCUAGUUGGCGGGGUAAAGGCCCACCAAGGCGACGAUCCGUAGCUGGUCUGAGAGGAUGAUCAGCCACACUGGAACUGAGACACGGUCCAGACUCCUACGGGAGGCAGCAGUGGGGAAUAUUGGACAAUGGGCGCAAGCCUGAUCCAGCCAUACCGCGUGGGUGAAGAAGGCCUUCGGGUUGUAAAGCCCUUUUGUUGGGAAAGAAAAGCAGCAGGUUAAUACCCCGCUGUUCUGACGUUACCCAAAGAAUAAGCACCGGCUAACUUCGUG